GACGAACGCUGGCGACGCGCUUAACACACGCAAGUCGAACGGAAAGGCCUGCUUUCCCUUGUGGAUUGCGGGUACUCGAGUGGCGAACGGGUGAGUAACACGUGAGUGAUCUGCCCCCAACUUGGGUAUAAGCCUGGGAAACUGGGUCUAAUUCCCGAUAGGACUGCAGGGUGGUGCCUGUGGUGGAAAACGAUUUUCUAGUGGUUGGGGAUGAGCUCGCGGCCUAUCAGCUUGUUGGUGGGGUAAUGGCCUACCAAGGCGGCGACGGGUAGCCGGCCUGAGAGGGUGGACGGCCACAUUGGGACUGAGAUACGGCCCAGACUCCUACGGGAGGCAGCAGUGGGGAAUAUUGCACAAUGGGCGGAAGCCUGAUGCAGCGACGCCGCGUGGGGGAUGACGGCCUUCGGGUUGUAAACUCCUUUCGACCGCGAGGAAGCCACCUGGUUGGAAGGGUGGUGACGGUAGUGGUAGAAGAAGCACCGGCUAACUACGUG
This 494-nucleotide ribosomal RNA is filed under the name uncultured bacterium. Its description in RNAcentral is "partial 16S ribosomal RNA". It matches the Rfam family "Bacterial small subunit ribosomal RNA", at positions 28 to 507 of the family's 1533-position model. The record is from RNAcentral.